AGAUUGAACGCUGGCGGCAGGCCUAACACAUGCAAGUCGAGCGGGGACUUCGGUCCUAGCGGCGAACGGGUGAGGAAUGCUUGGGAAUCUGCCCGGUAGUGGGGGAUAACGUUCCGAAAGGAACGCUAAUACCGCAUACGUCCUACGGGAGAAAGGGGGGGAUCUUCGGACCUCUCGCUAUCGGAUGAGCCCAAGUCGGAUUAGCUAGUUGGUGAGGUAAUGGCUCACCAAGGCGACGAUCCGUAGCUGGUCUGAGAGGAUGAUCAGCCACACUGGAACUGAGACACGGUCCAGACUCCUACGGGAGGCAGCAGUGGGAAUAUUGGACAUGGCGAAGCCUGAUCAGCAUGCGCGUGUGUGAGAGCCCUCGGUUGAAAGCCUUAAGCGGGAGAGUCGCACUAUACUGGCGAUGAGUACGAAAUAGACGCUAUUUUCGAGCGGUAAAAAGGUAAGGUAUCGAUAUGCUAGCAGGUGGUUGUAUGGUUGAACCGGUAAGGGAGGAAUAACA
This 508-nucleotide ribosomal RNA is filed under the name uncultured bacterium. RNAcentral's name for it is "bacterial SSU rRNA". The stretch from base 4 to 384 matches the Rfam family "Bacterial small subunit ribosomal RNA", at positions 29 to 544 of the family's 1533-position model. The record is from RNAcentral.